CCUACGGGAGGCAGCAGUGAGGAAUAUUGGUCAAUGGACGCAAGUCUGAACCAGCCAUGCCGCGUGCAGGAAGACGGCUCUAUGAGUUGUAAACUGCUUUUGUACGAGGGUAAACGCAGAUACGCGUAUCUGUCUGAAAGUAUCGUACGAAUAAGGAUCGGCUAACUCCGUGCCAGCAGCCGCGGUAAUACGGAGGAUUCAAGCGUUAUCCGGAUUUAUUGGGUUUAAAGGGUGCGUAGGCGGUCGGAUAAGUUAGAGGUGAAAUCCCGAGGCUCAACUUCGGAAUUGCCUCUGAUAUGGUUCGGUUAGAGAGUAGUUGCGGAAGGAGGAAGGUAUGGUGUAGCGGGGAGUGGCU
This 355-nucleotide ribosomal RNA is filed under the name uncultured bacterium. RNAcentral describes it as "partial 16S ribosomal RNA". It matches the Rfam family "Bacterial small subunit ribosomal RNA", at positions 338 to 690 of the family's 1533-position model. The record is from RNAcentral.